RNAcentral lists this non-coding RNA (329 nucleotides) under Neotoma lepida (desert woodrat). Its description in RNAcentral is "Eukaryotic large subunit ribosomal RNA". It matches the Rfam family "Eukaryotic large subunit ribosomal RNA", at positions 2483 to 2810 of the family's 3401-position model. The record is from Rfam by way of RNAcentral. Lineage: Eukaryota; Metazoa; Chordata; Mammalia; Rodentia; Cricetidae.
UCUCUUGUUUCAAGUACUCUCAUCAUUUUAUCACUGACCUGGUAGGUAGGGGGUGCGAGCCCUAAGGGGUUCUUGCUUCUGAUACCAUGCACUGUUCUGCUCAUAUGGACGGGUGCAACCUGCUCUGGGGGAAGUGUGAGGUGAGGAGUUUGAUUAGGGAAGUAUACUUGUCGAAUAGUAAUGCAGGUGUCCUAAGGCAAAGCUCAGGGAGGACAGAAACCUCCUGUGGCAAAAGAGCAAAUGCUUGAUCUUGAUUUCAGUAUGAAUACAGACAGUAGGAAAAAAAAGAUCCCUUUUAGGCCAGGGUGAGUCCAGACAAGGCUUCCAAA